AGGAUGACAUCGGGUCAGGUCAAUCAUAGGGUUAAGGAGGAGCUACCCGUUUCAAUCUUUCAGAAGCAUUUCAAAUUUCAAUUCAAAUUCACUGAAACGAUGGAGGCCCCGCCACUGAAGCUCGUAAUGCUCCAAGGCCCUCGCGAGGGCGAAACCUUAGAAUUCCGACACGGUUCCACCGUCCGAAUAGGCCGUCUCGUCCGGGGCAACGCCGUCCCCAUCAAGGACGUCGGCAUUUCCUCCAAGCACCUCUCCAUUGAGUCAUCCUCUUCUGGGUCAGGUAAAUGGAUCCUUCGCGAUCUUCACUCCUCCAACGGCACCCUCCUCAACGGCACCAAGCUCCUCCCAGACACUCCCUAUGAUCUCAGCGAUGCCGACUCCAUCAAGAUCGGCGAGUACACCUCCAUCUUAGUCAAGAUUGACGGCGACGAUGAGAGCCAACUGAGGCGGAACCCCAGGCGCCGGGCCGCACAGAAAGACCAGGCGGAACCGGUGGCAGAGAAUCGGGGCCCGAAGGUAAAGGCUUCUAUAGAGAGCGAAGCUAAAUAUGACGAGAAAGGUGAGGACUUGGAGACUGGUAAUAGAAGGAAGGGUCGGCCGAGGAAAGCUAGGGUUAUGAAGAGCGAAGACGUUGCUCAGGAACUUCGUUCUAAGGAGCCUGAGAAUGUGGGACCCGUGGAAGAGAAACCGUUACGGCAAACAAGUACAAGGCGCACACGGAGUGCAAAGAUCAAGGAAUCUGGGCCUUUGGAACCGGUUCUCGAGAAGAUCCCAGAGACCUUGAGUGGAGAAGUGGAGGUUAAGGGUAAGAAGAACCGAGUCGGGGCGAGAAGAAGGAAGAAUUUAUGCGAAGAGUCAUUGAAUUUCGUUCGAGUUGAUGCUUCGGAGGAUAAGGGAAACGAGGAGGAGACAAAUUUCGAAGAAAACAUUAUAACCGAUGUUGACAAAGGUGCUCCGAGUCGAGUGGAUGCUUCAGAUAAUAAGGAGAAUGUGGAGGAAACGAAUUCCGAAGAAAAUGAUAGACUUGUUGUCGAUAAGGGCGCGGCGACUGGAGUUGAUGUUAAGGUGGAACGGGGGGCUGGUUCUGGUGUCAAAGAGGAGGAGGGGCUGGAUUUGGAGAAGAUGACGCUUGGGGACUGGUUCGAUUAUCUGGAGGUGCAUUUGCCAAAACAGAUAAUUGAUGCGACUGAGGAGAUGAUUGACGGUAUGAGACAGAAAGCUAAGCAAGUUCGUGAGUAUAUGGUGGAGCAGAGGACUGAGAGGGGUAAAGUGCCAGUGCGAUAGACCACUCCUCAGUUUAUGCGGUAAAUUGAUAGUUCAAUCGGCUUCAUCUUUUAAAUAUUCACUUCAGUGCUAGUUUGAUUAGAUGGUGCAUGAAAUUAAGGUAGCUUGAAACUCUCCCAAGUGCUAAUUUGUAGUGAUAGGCUGAGAUUGCUAUUUUACUUGUUUUUAGUUGUGAGCUUAUCUUUCUUGGCGGGACGGCUCUAAGGUUUCAUCCGUUUCAAUAAAAGAACUUGUCAGUCGUGUGUAUUAGAAAUAGAUUCCAUGAAGUAUCUUGUCUCCACAAUAUCGUGGUUUGGUUGUAUAAUUUGCAUGUGAUCUGUGAGUUCUGUUUCUUCUCUAGAACUCAUGAAUAUCAGGUGUCCUCUGUUUUGCGAUCUUGCAAAUUGAGGAAAGCAUGAGGUGGAAUUCCAAAUUGUAAAGGGGCACUGUUAUAUUAGUGUUUAAACAUGAACACAAUUCAUGUAUACUUUGUUUGGGAAUGGAUGGCUCUAACAGAUACGCGCCUGCCUGUACUGUUUAAUGUUUAUGUACCCCUUGAAUACAGGUUUAGUGAAAAAUAUGCGAACUCUCACUUUUUGACA
RNA transcript from Carya illinoinensis, 1865 nucleotides. It is a transcript of the gene named FHA domain-containing protein At4g14490-like, with no coding region annotated. NCBI's taxonomy places the organism in Eukaryota, Viridiplantae, Streptophyta, Magnoliopsida, Fagales, Juglandaceae. The transcript has 2 exons. The record is from RefSeq and is a predicted model, not a curated record.